AUUCUAGAACAGUCUGACUCUAGAAAGAAGUGUGGCUCUAGAACAACCCAACUUUAGAGCCGUUCCAGGUCAUAGCUGACGAGUUCAGCUAGGCAACAAGUCAAGUGUUCGGUUUGAAGAUCUGCGGAAGGUCUUUCUGUUUGGAUAUGAGGUGGAGACAGUCUUAAGAAGACCACAUGGAGAUGUGCACACCCACGAAGAAGGGACACAACCUUCUCAGCAUGGACUAGCACAUCGAGAGAUGUCCCCUUGGUUAUCUCACAAGACCACUCACUGAUCAUCUGCUGGGUCAGCCUCUUCCUUGAGCCAUCAGUGACUGAGGAGUGACAUCAGCUGUGGGACCCACGGUCUUCAUCAUGUACAAGUGACAGAGCCUCCGGAUCUUACUGGUCUUCCUGGACCAGUGAGGGUUGUAACGAUUCAAUAGUGAUGUUACAGUGAGAUGAACAGCUGUGUUCUACUCAGGACUCCUGCCUUGACGCUAUGCCCCUCGUAGACCCAAAACCAUGGUGCCAACCACUCUCUGAAACUUGCUUCCAUUACUGGCUCAAGAUUCCUCCGGCCCACCGUGGCACCCGUGUCGUGGCAUGCAGUGACAAUGAGCUCAGGGUGCCAAAGUAGACGUGUGCAGAGCAACGGAAAGACUACACAGGGACACUUCACCGGAAUGUAGCAACAGGCUAAUGGCAUCUUCAACUUCACGUGACCUGCGUUUGGAACAUCAGAAUUAAGCAUCCAUAUUGACUCUGCCUUUCUUGUGAAAACAAUUAAACAGUGUGUGCUAGGCAGAGAGUCAUCUCAGGGAUUAAAAGGUGUUCACCUAUUCUUGCAAAAUCCAAGACAUGAAGGGCGGGUGUCAGAUCCUGUCCUGAGAGAGGUAGGGUGUAGGAGGGACCCUUACCAGAUGGCUGUAGUAGUCCUGUUCCUUAGGCAUCAGAAACACCCAGGAACUGUCCAACGACAAGGGUCGGACUGCCGUGAACUUGAAGAGGACAUUUCAGAAAGUCGUGUGUUUUGCAUAAAGACACACAGGCCAAGGGAAGGUUUGCAGUGGAUAAAAAUAGUCGCUGAGUCCCCGGCGUAGAUAACUCCACCUUAGAUGGGUGCAGUUACGGCUUGGCCCAUCAAAGCGACGGGGCUUCCCACAUCCCUCUGAAUUUCCUUCAGGGUCUUCAAAACCCAGCACUUACUCAAAAGCAGCAUGCAGCUGUGACUGACUGCUGUUUUAUGGCACGUUUACAAGAAUCGUAAUGUCCCCUAAAGCAGUUCUGAAAAUAGUAGAGUUCCCCCUUUCUGGUUUCUCCAU
This 1306-nucleotide small RNA is filed under the name Rattus norvegicus (Norway rat). Its description in RNAcentral is "uncharacterized LOC102550919". The record is from RNAcentral. Lineage: Eukaryota; Metazoa; Chordata; Mammalia; Rodentia; Muridae.